AAAAAGUCCACUAUGCAAUUAAAAUGUUUUUAAUUGGUCCUAGAGUAAGUUUUUGACAAUAAAGCCUAGUACUCUCAUCGACGAAAACCGCGAGCUAACCAUAGGAGAGACCAAGAGGCAAAUAGGCGGCUAACGCUUUUCGUAGGGUCUGUUUUUCACCGCGGUACUUAGAUGAAUGAUUGAAUUUCGAUUAACGCCGUUAGCCACCGCGCAAAGAAAUAUGAAAUUUGAUCUUUGGCUGUGUUGUUUGUCCUGAAGCGGUGUGAAACAAAAAUUGAAAAAUGGAAGGAAAUCCCAAAAACCACGCCAAAGAUGCCUUCAGGAGUUUAGUGUAGAAGAAAAAUAAGUAUGCCUAAUCCCAGCUGUGGAAGGGGCAAUACCAAAACAGGACAAAACCGCAGAAGAGUGAAUGUGCUGGAGGUAAUCCAAUAGAGAAGCCCAUUGGAAAUGAGCAUGCCGAGUGGGAUUUCGCUUCCUAUUUGGACAUUCUGCAAAGAAAAACCACCAAUAACACUAUCUCUGAGGAUCUCUCCAUUGGGGAAUAGCUGAACUCCACCACCACCAGCUACUUGGCAGCUAAAACCUAUUCACGCAGAGGUUCACGCUUCAGCGACCGAAUUGUGCUUCAGCGACUUUUUUUCCAUAAGAAAUACAACUAGCUUCAGUGCAAAA
This is a long non-coding RNA of Drosophila subpulchrella, 672 nucleotides long. RefSeq lists it as uncharacterized. The record is from RefSeq and is a predicted model, not a curated record. NCBI's taxonomy places the organism in Eukaryota, Metazoa, Arthropoda, Insecta, Diptera, Drosophilidae. The transcript is spliced from 2 exons.